GUGCCAGCAGCCGCGGUAAUACGAAGGUGGCAAGCGUUACUCGGAAUUACUAGGCGUAAAGGGCAGGUAGGUGGCCCGGCAAGUCUGUUGUGAAAUCUCCCGGCUUAACUGGGAGGGGUCAACAGAUACUGCCAGGCUUGAGUAUAGGAGAGGGUAUUGGAAUUCCCGGUGUAGCGGUGAAAUGCGCAGAGAUCGGGAGGAACACCAAUGGCGAAAGCAGAUACCUGGACUAUUACUGACACUCAGCUGCGAAAGCUAGGGGAGCAAACAGGAUUAGAAACCCUGGUAGUCC
RNAcentral lists this ribosomal RNA (292 nucleotides) under uncultured bacterium. RNAcentral describes it as "partial 16S ribosomal RNA". It matches the Rfam family "Bacterial small subunit ribosomal RNA", at positions 505 to 796 of the family's 1533-position model. The record is from RNAcentral.